Molecule: ribosomal RNA, 253 nt
Filed under: uncultured bacterium
Lineage: Bacteria
Description: partial 16S ribosomal RNA
Rfam family: Bacterial small subunit ribosomal RNA
Source: RNAcentral
UACGUAGGGUGCGAGCGUUGUCCGGAAUUAUUGGGCGUAAAGGGCUCGUAGGCGGUCUGUCGCGUCGGAUGUGAAAACCCAGGGCUCAACCCUGGGCCUGCAUUCGAUACGGGCAGACUAGAGUUCGGUAGGGGAGACUGGAAUUCCUGGUGUAGCGGUGAAAUGCGCAGAUAUCAGGAGGAACACCGGUGGCGAAGGCGGGUCUCUGGGCCGAAACUGACGCUGAGGAGCGAAAGCGUGGGGAGCAAACAGG